UUCCAGUCUUGGUUUGCCUCCUUGGGCAAACUAAGGCUGGCAAGAGCUGCCUCCGGGUCGCAGUGAGGACUCAGCGAGGGAACGAGGGCGAGCAAGCUUUGGAAAGCCAGUUGCUGAGCAGAUGGUCUGGACAGGUGGCCAGACGAAGCCACGUUGCCCGGGGCCGCAGCCUGGCGGCACACACCGACUCCCCAACAGCGCGGGCUCCACCGUGCCCGCCUUCAGGCCCCGCCCCCGGCGCGGGGCAUUGUGGGCCGCCGGCCGAUGAGCCCCAAGUCGCGCCCAGGGCCUCCUCUCCGGGCUCCGCGCCGCUGUCGCGCAGCCGCAGCGCUGAGCAGGAAACGUUCCUUUCCAAACGGCAUGGAAUUUUGGACACUUCCACACUAAGACAACUACUUCAGCCAGAACGUGGGACAGGCGCUCACAGGAUGUCACCCUUGAGGAUAAAUACUCGCUAGUUUCCGGUGAACGGUGGAAAAGGAAGCGGCUGGGGUGAGGGAGGCUCAUCCUCGCAUAUUUAACCUGGGGAAGGAGAGAAUAAUUGGAAGGUGGGGAGGAUAGGAAAUGUGGUUGCUCCUCUCCCAUCCUUUCAUUUCAGAUCUUUCCAAUGUUUUUAUAUCUUUCACUUAAAAAAAUCAUUCCCCUUUCCUGAGUUUGGAUGAGGCUGGGGAGCAAACUUCCCAAAAAAGGAAGGUGAUGAAUAUGGGAGAGGGCCAAGGGAGAUGUUCAGGGAACUCAAACUCUCCAGCUUCCACCUAUUUCUGAGGGAAAUGCCAUCAGCCAUGGGUUUUAGCCCAAUGUAAGGGGAGCUGAUUGGGUGUAUGGGCGGUGGUGGGAGGUCUGAAUUAAGGGAAAGAAAGAAAGAAAGGCAGACCCUCUCCCACCCCAAGGCAUUAAAAGACACCCCCUCCCCCAGCUGUCUUGUGUCCGGCAGAAUGGCAUUAUGUAAAAAAUCUGGCACGUCACCCAGUGGCACAUCUGGUAGGUGUAGAUGGCAUUCAUUAGCACAGGGUUUCUACUCUGCUGCAUGCCAAAGCCCUGACAGAGAUGCCCGCUGCCAAUCAUUCACUCGCUGCCAAUCCCAGAGCGCGGCCUGGCGGGAUGGCUCCCUUCCACCCUGGCACUGGGACUGGAGGAAACAAUGUGUUGAGAUAGGAGGAGACGAAAGCGGAGCUGAAGAUGCGAGGCACCCAACAGAUGUAUCCAGUGAAGAGAUAACGGUGCGAAGAUUCAUUUAGCAAGAAAGCAUAUGCAGGAUCGCAGGAGGGAGGCUUGGGCAGGGGUCUGCCUACCUAGGGCUGAGCUGGGGGAGGGGCAGGGGAUCCCCUUCAGAAACCUCAAAGUUGAAGUUGCUUCUCUAAAAACACACAAAGACCAUUCUCCCCAACCCUAACUCUAAGACCUCCUCUCUCUCUCCCUGCCCCCAAUAUGUACCUCUGCUUAACUUACUAGCUCUGAAAAGAUGAACUAC
Molecule: long non-coding RNA, 1471 nt
Organism: Equus quagga
Lineage: Eukaryota; Metazoa; Chordata; Mammalia; Perissodactyla; Equidae
Exons: 3
Source: RefSeq, a predicted model, not a curated record